AACUGAUACUACCUGCGGGAACCUGCGGAAGGAUCAUUAUAGAGUUUUCUAAACUCCCAACCCAUGUGAACUUACCUUUUGUUGCCUCGGCAGAAGUUAUAGGUCUUCUUAUAGCUGCUGCCGGUGGACCAUUAAACUCUUGUUAUUUUAUGUAAUCUGAGCGUCUUAUUUUAAUAAGUCAAAACUUUUAACAACGGAUCUCU
This 203-nucleotide unclassified non-coding RNA is filed under the name soil metagenome. Its description in RNAcentral is "partial contains 5.8S ribosomal RNA, internal transcribed spacer 2, and large subunit ribosomal RNA". The record is from RNAcentral.